RNAcentral lists this long non-coding RNA (331 nucleotides) under Erythranthe guttata (spotted monkey flower). Its description in RNAcentral is "long non-coding RNA (EGUT_LNC000296)". The record is from RNAcentral. Lineage: Eukaryota; Viridiplantae; Streptophyta; Magnoliopsida; Lamiales; Phrymaceae.
AUUGAUGAGGCUGUUAUAGUGGAGCAUGAUGAGAAUUCGGUGGAAUUAGUUGUUUAUUGUGAAGGGGAAUACCACUCCAAGUUAUCUAGUUUUUGUUUGGCUAAAGUGGGUCACUUUGGAGACCAGGUUUAUGAUUCCACCGAGAGAGAUGACUUAACUCAUAAAAUCAAGAAAGAUAGUCAUGUGCUUGUGAAGAUUGGUAAGACAAAGGAAUACAUCUUGCUCGGAAAGAAAGUCGAUGAAGUCAAGCAUAGGUGGAAACACAAAAAAGAGAGACGAUUAUUGGGCAGAACCUUGAGGACAAGGUUCAUUUCAAGAGGGGUGGUUUGAU